UAGCGGAGCGUGUGGUUUAAUUCGUUGCUACACGAAGAACCUUACCUGGGUUUGACAUAGCAGUGGUAGGGAAGAGAAAUCGGACCGACCCUUCGGGGAGCUGUUACAGGUGUUGCAUGGCUGUCGUCAGCUCGUGUCGUGAGAUGUUCGGUUAAGUCCGCUAACGAGCGCAACCCGCGUUGUGUGUUAUAUGUGUCACACAAUACCGCCGGUAUUAAGCCGGAGGAAGGUGCGGAUGACGUCAAGUCAGCAUGACCUUUAUAUCCAGGGCUACACACACGCUACAAUGGACAGUACAACAGGUUGCCAAGCCGCGAGGCGGAGCCAAUCCUCUAAAGCUGUCCUCAGUUCAGAUUGCAGGCUGCAACUCGCCUGCAUGAAGUUGGAGUUGCUAGUAACCGCAUAA
RNAcentral lists this ribosomal RNA (406 nucleotides) under uncultured bacterium. RNAcentral describes it as "bacterial SSU rRNA". It matches the Rfam family "Bacterial small subunit ribosomal RNA", at positions 930 to 1349 of the family's 1533-position model. The record is from RNAcentral.